Phycisphaerae bacterium SM1_79 is the source of this 235-nucleotide non-coding RNA. The record is from Rfam. Lineage: Bacteria; Pseudomonadati; Planctomycetota; Phycisphaerae.
AUAAUCCAGCCUGGCCAAAGGUUAGCCACCAGGCCAGAACGGAACUUAAUGUAUAUCGAGGUAACAAGAUAUGCAAUGCUUAAGGAAAGGCGAAUGGUCAGCCAUAAUGUAAGUGAAGGUGUUGAGCCCCGAAAUUUGUGUAUUGCACUGGGCCAAGGGUUACUCCAUUCGGAAGCCAGUAGCGCUGCACGCGAUAACGUUGAGUGUAUCAGCGACGUGUCGGGAUCGAAGUCCA